AUGAACGCUAGCUACAGGCUUAACACAUGCAAGUCGAGGGGCAGCAUUUUAGUUUGCUUGCAAACUGAAGAUGGCGACCGGCGCACGGGUGAGUAACACGUAUCCAACCUGCCGAUAACUCCGGAAUAGCCUUUCGAAAGAAAGAUUAAUACCGGAUAGCAUACGAAUAUCGCAUGAUAUUUUUAUUAAAGAAUUUCGGUUAUCGAUGGGGAUGCGUUUCAUUAGUUUGUUGGCGGGGUAACGGCCCACCAAGACAACGAUGGAUAGGGGUUCUGAGAGGAAGGUCCCCCACAUUGGAACUGAGACACGGUCCAAACUCCUACGGGAGGCAGCAGUGAGGAAUAUUGGUCAAUGGGCGAGAGCCUGAACCAGCCAAGUAGCGUGAAGGAUGAAGGCUCUAUGGGUCGUAAACUUCUUUUAUAUGGGAAUAAAGUUUUCCACGUGUGGAAUUUUGUAUGUACCAUAUGAAUAAGGAUCGGCUAACUCCGUGCCAGCAGCCGCGGUAAUACGGAGGAUCCGAGCGUUAUCCGGAUUUAUUGGGUUUAAAGGGAGCGUAGGUGGAUUGUUAAGUCAGUUGUGAAAGUUUGCGGCUCAACCGUAAAAUUGCAGUUGAAACUGGCAGUCUUGAGUACAGUAGAGGUGGGCGGAAUUCGUGGUGUAGCGGUGAAAUGCUUAGAUAUCACGAAGAACUCCGAUUGCGAAGGCAGCUCACUAGACUGUCACUGACACUGAUGCUCGAAAGUGUGGGGCAUCAAACAGGAUUAGAUACCCUGGUAGUCCACACAGUAAACGAUGAAUACUCGCUGUUUGCGAUAUACAGUAAGCGGCCAAGCGAAAGCAUUAAGUAUUCCACCUGGGGAGUACGCCGGCAACGGUGAAACUCAAAGGAAUUGACGGGGGCCCGCACAAGCGGAGGAACAUGUGGUUUAAUUCGAUGAUACGCGAGGAACCUUACCCGGGCUUAAAUUGCAACAGAAUAUAUUGGAAACAGUAUAGCCGUAAGGCUGUUGUGAAGGUGCUGCAUGGUUGUCGUCAGCUCGUGCCGUGAGGUGUCGGCUUAAGUGCCAUAACGAGCGCAACCCUUAUCUUUAGUUACUAACAGGUGAUGCUGAGGACUCUAGAGAGACUGCCGUCGUAAGAUGUGAGGAAGGUGGGGAUGACGUCAAAUCAGCACGGCCCUUACGUCCGGGGCUACACACGUGUUACAAUGGGGGGUACAGAAGGCGGCUACCUGGUGACAGGAUGCUAAUCCCAAAAACCUCUCUCAGUUCGGAUCGAAGUCUGCAACCCGACUUCGUGAAGCUGGAUUCGCUAGUAAUCGCGCAUCAGCCAUGGCGCGGUGAAUACGUUCCCGGGCCUUGUACACACCGCCCGUCAAGCCAUGAAAGCCGGGGGUACCUGAAGUACGUAACCGCAAGGAGCGUCCUAGGGUAAAACUGGUAAUUGGGGC
This 1450-nucleotide ribosomal RNA is filed under the name uncultured organism. Its description in RNAcentral is "SSU rRNA". It matches the Rfam family "Bacterial small subunit ribosomal RNA". The record is from RNAcentral.